GCAAGUCGAACGAGGUGCUUUUUGUAGCAAUACGAGGAGUAUCCUAGUGGCGAACGGGUGAGUAACGCGUGGGUGACCUACCCCAAAGUGUGGAAUAACAGUCCGAAAGGAUUGCUAAUGCCGCAUGUGGUCUGCGAGUUUAGAAAUCGUUGACUAAAGGAGCAAUUCGCUUUGGGAGGGACCUGCGUCCCAUCAGCUAGUUGGUGAGGUAACGGCUCACCAAGGCUACGACGGGUAGGGGACCUGAGAGGGUGGCCCCCCACAAUGGAACUGAAACACGGUCCAUACACCUACGGGUGGCAGCAGUAGGGAAUAUUGCACAAUGGGCGAAAGCCUGAUGCAGCAACGCCGCGUGCGCGAUGAAGGUCUUCGGAUCGUAAAGCGCUUUUCUGAGAGAUGAGAAAGGACAGUAUCUCAGGAAUAAGUCUCGGCUAACUACGUGCCAGCAGCCGCGGUAAAACGUAGGAGGCGAGCGUUAUCCGGAUUCACUGGGCGUAAAGCGCGUGCAGGUGGUUCGGUAAGUUGGGCGUGAAAUCUCCCGGCUCAACUGGGAGAGGUCGUUCAAUACUACCGGACUUGAGAGCAGAAGAGGAAGAUGGAAUUCCCGGUGUAGUGGUGAAAUGCGUAGAUAUCGGGAGGAACACCAGUGGCGAAGGCGAUCUUCUGGUCUGUUUCUGACACUCAGACGCGACAGCUAGGGUAGUAAACGGGAUUAGAGACCCCGGUAAUCCUAGCCGUAAACGAUGUGAACUUGGCGUUGGUGGGUUAAACUCCAUCAGUGCCGAAGCAAACGCGAUAAGUUCACCGCC
RNAcentral lists this ribosomal RNA (809 nucleotides) under uncultured bacterium. Its description in RNAcentral is "bacterial SSU rRNA". It matches the Rfam family "Bacterial small subunit ribosomal RNA", at positions 57 to 873 of the family's 1533-position model. The record is from RNAcentral.